AGCCAUCCAAAUUUAAUAAAUAUCCAAGCUGGAUAUGGGGAUGCCAAGCACAACAGAGAUAGAAAGCUCAAGUUUGUCAUGUUUGGAGUCCUUGCAACAAGCUUUGGACCUUCUAAGUGAAUUGUUACAGGCUGAGUCCUAGUGAUCGUGCGGCCGUAAAAGAUGAAGUCAACAUUGAUCUUGUUGAUCGCAGUAGGACAAACCAGAAAAAAUUGAUGCAGAUGCUAACCACUGGGUUAGCU
Cajanus cajan (pigeon pea) is the source of this 242-nucleotide non-coding RNA. NCBI's taxonomy places the organism in Eukaryota, Viridiplantae, Streptophyta, Magnoliopsida, Fabales, Fabaceae. The record is from RefSeq and is a predicted model, not a curated record.